Molecule: transfer RNA, 75 nt
Filed under: Candidatus Uhrbacteria bacterium RIFCSPHIGHO2_01_FULL_63_20
Lineage: Bacteria; Candidatus Uhriibacteriota
Description: tRNA-Glu
Rfam family: tRNA
About the family: Transfer RNA (tRNA) molecules are approximately 80 nucleotides in length. Their secondary structure includes four short double-helical elements and three loops (D, anti-codon, and T loops).
Source: RNAcentral
GGCCCCAUCGUCUAACGGCUAGGACAUCGCCCUUUCAAGGCGGUAACGCGGGUUCGACUCCCGCUGGGGUCACCA